GAGUGGGCCCAGUCAGAUUGCUAACCUGACCCACCAAGACUAGCCCCUUGGCC
RNAcentral lists this transfer RNA (53 nucleotides) under Hemidactylus flaviviridis. RNAcentral describes it as "partial tRNA-Ser". Lineage: Eukaryota; Metazoa; Chordata; Lepidosauria; Squamata; Gekkonidae. The record is from RNAcentral.